Non-coding RNA from Biomphalaria pfeifferi, 304 nucleotides. The record is from the annotation of a GenBank genome assembly. NCBI's taxonomy places the organism in Eukaryota, Metazoa, Mollusca, Gastropoda, Planorbidae.
CCCCCCCCCCCCAUGUGACUUUUUGCAUUUAAAUCAUAUUAUUGUUUUUCUGAUAUUGUAACUAUUUCAAUUUAUUCAGCCUAAGAAUAGGCUGAGCCUAUAGGAGCAGGUCUCGGCUCUGUUCCAGCAGUUUUAAUUGAACUUGAAUACCUGAUAUUUGUUGGACUGAGCUACAGUGAUCAGCCGUUCCAUUAGACACACAAUUUUUCGACCAAGCAAAAGACUGCUUUUUGUUUCCUAUGGCCGUAAAUCUCAAGAUUCAUUGAAAUUUCAAUAACAAAGCUUCCCCCCCCCCCCCCCCCCC